CGUUCCCGGCCUUGUACACACCGCCCGUCACACCACGAAAGUCGGCAAUACCCGAAGCCGGUGUGCUAACCCGUAAGGGAGGCAGCCGUCUAAGGUAGGGUCGGUGAUUGGGGUGAAGUCGUAAACAAGGUACC
RNAcentral lists this ribosomal RNA (134 nucleotides) under uncultured bacterium. Its description in RNAcentral is "partial 16S ribosomal RNA". It matches the Rfam family "Bacterial small subunit ribosomal RNA", at positions 1369 to 1500 of the family's 1533-position model. The record is from RNAcentral.